AGUGAACGCUGGCGGUAGGCCUAACACAUGCAAGUCGAACGGCAGCACAGUAAGAGCUUGCUCUUACGGGUGGCGAGUGGCGGACGGGUGAGGAAUACAUCGGAAUCUACUUUUUCGUGGGGGAUAACGUAGGGAAACUUACGCUAAUACCGCAUACGACCUACGGGUGAAAGCAGGGGAUCUUCGGACCUUGCGCGAUUGAAUGAGCCGAUGUCGGAUUAGCUAGUUGGCGGGGUAAAGGCCCACCAAGGCGACGAUCCGUAGCUGGUCUGAGAGGAUGAUCAGCCACACUGGAACUGAGACACGGUCCAGACUCCUACGGGAGGCAGCAGUGGGGAAUAUUGGACAAUGGGCGCAAGCCUGAUCCAGCAAUACCGCGUGGGUGAAGAAGGCCUUCGGGUUGUAAAGCCCUUUUGUUGGGAAAGAAAAGCAGCAGGUUAAUACCCUGCUGUUCUGACGGUACCCAAAGAAUAAGCACCGGCUAACUUCGUG
Molecule: ribosomal RNA, 492 nt
Filed under: uncultured bacterium
Lineage: Bacteria
Description: partial 16S ribosomal RNA
Rfam family: Bacterial small subunit ribosomal RNA
Source: RNAcentral